Long non-coding RNA from Talpa occidentalis (Iberian mole), 1625 nucleotides. RefSeq lists it as uncharacterized. The transcript has 3 exons. Lineage: Eukaryota; Metazoa; Chordata; Mammalia; Eulipotyphla; Talpidae. The record is from RefSeq and is a predicted model, not a curated record.
UCUUUGAGUAACCUGGGGCCCACAGCUCACAGCAUAGUGCGCAAAUGUGUGAUGACAAUGACUCCCCAGGUGUAUGAUGUCCCCCAGGUAUGAGGUUUCUCCAGAUUACAUAUUUUCCAGACCCAGAGGAUACAGUGAUGAGACAUAGUCUCCUCCCACCAGGACAUCACAGUGCAAUAAAAAUCAGAUGGCACCGUGAACCCCUGGUGUCCCUUCAAAGGGCCUUCUGAGCAUGUUUCGAAGUUCCCCUGUGGCCCACAGCCCGGAAGCACCCAGGACUGGAGACCAGACAUCCCUCGUGUCAGAGCACUGAGAGAAGAGAAGCAAGUCUGCAGCCAGGGAGGGAUCCCUGCAGUCCUGGGGUAGACACCAGCCACAGCCUCCACUGGAGCCCCUGAGCCCACCGCCUCCUCACCCUGGAAGUCUUGGUUUGCAUGGAGGCAAGGUCAAAGGCUUGGGAGGAGCCAUAAAUAAGAACCAGGUGUCCCUUGUAGUUCACUUACUCUCACAGGAGGUAAAUCAAAGGGUGAGCCUCGCAAGAUACUGUGACAUUACAAAAAAAAAAAAAUCCAUCAGAAAAUCUCAUCUUUAAAGAUCUCUCAAGCAAAUGGCAUUAUGCCCAUUUUCCAGAAGACCAAGCACUACAUGGUGAUGGGAAAGAUGCCUGCAAAGCAAAUGACGAUAAGGCACUGACCCUUCUCUCCUGGCAAUUAUGUGACCAAAUUAUGAAGGUCCUGAGACAACACAUCACAGCCUCUAUGAAGCAGUGAAAGACCUGUUGGUCUCUACUGGGGGCUGAAGAAAGGGCUUAGGGAAGUGACUCACCCACAGCAAGGCCCAGGUCACCCAAUUUACCUGCCGCCAUCUUGCUGGGCAGAAUUGUGUUUCCCCCUCAAGAACUAGCUGUUGCUGUUUUCCAAAAGAAGAGACCUUCAUAUUCCGAGCAGGAGAUUCUCCAGGUUACUGCUGCAGAAAUGGAAAUGCACUCCUAGCGCCUCAGGGAUACGCAGUGAGACCAAUUAUUCUCUUAUCCCCAGAAGCCGGGCGGCAUUUGAAAUUGUGCUGUCCUGGGAGACCACGCUCCCACCUACACUGGUUUCUCUCGUCACUCUUGUCCCUGUUCACUUCCGUCAUGUUGACAACCUCCUCUGACAGCGCUCCAGCUACUCCACAUGGCGAAAGGCAUCAGGUUCAAGAAAACUGACCUGACAGGUUAAAAUAAAAACCAGGCUAGUGGAACAAUUGCCAAAGUCUUGUGAAUAUUUUAAAGUAGCUCAAUAACGCAAAAGAUCAUUCUUAAUAACCAGAGGGCAUAGCAUGUGAUUUUUACAAUCAUGACAAAGCCAAGGAUCAUGAUUGAGUCCUACAAUAUAAACACCAGACAGAGACAAGAGGCGUUUGAUUUCUGAGAAUGCCGGCUUGCUGACAGCAACUUCAAAUCCCUCCAACUUCUCAUUAGGUGUGAUUUUGAGUUCAUCUAUCUUACAUCUCAGACAGUAACCUUUAAUGGCAUUAAUUAAUGGAACAUUUUUUAAGUCCUCCUGCAAUUUUUUUGAUUACAGUUAUAAAACAUACCAUAGUAACCUUUCCUGCUUUUGUAAUUACUGCUUUGUGAAAUUCCAAUU